RNAcentral lists this ribosomal RNA (425 nucleotides) under Eurygerris flavolineatus. Its description in RNAcentral is "partial 16S large subunit ribosomal RNA". The record is from RNAcentral. Lineage: Eukaryota; Metazoa; Arthropoda; Insecta; Hemiptera; Gerridae.
UUUUUUGAUUUUAAUAUAAGAUCUUACCUGCCCAUUGAUUUUUUAGAAUUAAAAGGCUGCGGUAUUUUAACUGUACGAAGGUAGCAUAAUAAUUUGUCUUUUAAUUGAAGGCUAGAAUGAAUGGUUUGAUGAAAAAUAAACUUUCUUUUUUUUAUUAAAUUGAACUUAAUUUUUUAGUUAAAAAGCUAAAAUAUUUUUAUAGGACGAGAAGACCCUAUAGAAGUUUACUUUAUUUAUAAAUUUUUAUUUUUAGUUUUUAAAAUUUAUUUUUAGAAUAUAAGGUUUUGUUGGGGUGACAUUAAAAUUUUUUAAACUUUUAAUAUAUAUAUAUUCAUUAAUUUAUGUUUUUUUGAUCCAGAAUUUUUUGAUUAUAAGAUUAACUUACCUUAGGGAUAACAGCGUAAUUUAUUUGGAGAGUCCUUAUC